Molecule: long non-coding RNA, 1237 nt
Organism: Pongo pygmaeus (Bornean orangutan)
Lineage: Eukaryota; Metazoa; Chordata; Mammalia; Primates; Hominidae
Exons: 2
Source: RefSeq, a predicted model, not a curated record
ACUUAGCUAGGUGGACAUGGUACAAAGCCACAUUACCACGCUAAGUGUGGCUUUGAUUUUUAGAAACAACCGCCUCAUGCUAAGUCUAGGGAAUACAGUGGUUGAAUGGGGUGAGCGCUGACCUUUAGCUAUUCUGGAGGAACAUGUCACUUUCACUUAUUUUCUUUCAUGCUUUCCCACACAGUGCUAUGGACUCUGAUCGCCCAACCAGAGCAAACCCAGAAGGACAACUCUCCAAGCCUUUCAAUCACUCCCACUAACCAACCCGUAGUGUGGACACACUAUUGUGAGGCCUACUAAGGAUGUACUGCUGAUGACCUUUUGAAGGGAACCCUUCCACCAUCAUGUGAAGAAGCGUGGUCUAGCCUGCUGGAGGAUGAGAGAUCACAUGGAAUGAGGCCAAAACCAUUCCAGCCAAAGCCCCAGUAAUAGAAUUAAGAUCAUCCAAGACCAUGGCAUCCCGCCUGAGAAGUUCAGAUGAGAAGGGCCACCUGAACAACCAACAGAAUCUUAAAAAGUAAAAAAUGAGUGUUACCACUAUGCAUCUAUUAGAAUGGCAGAAAUCGAAGACACUGACAACAGCAAAUGCUGGUGAGGGUGUGGAGCAACAGGAACUCUCACUCACUGAAGAUGGAAAUGCAAAAUAGUGCAGCUACUUUGGAAAACAGUUUGGCUGUUUCUUACAACACUAAACAUGCUAUUAUUAUAUGAUCCAGAAAUUUUGCUCCUUAGCACUUACCCAAAAAAGUUGAAAACUUAUGUACACACAAAAACCUGCACAUGGAUAUUUAUAGCAGUUUUUGAUAUGGUUUGGCUCUGUGUCCCCACAGAAAUCUCAUCUUGUAUUUGUAUAAAUUUAUGGGGUACAAGUGUAAUUUUGUCAACAUGCAUAGACAUGCAUAGACUGCAUAGCUCCCAUAAUUCCCACAUGUUGUGGGAGGGACCUGGUGGGAGGUGAUUGAAUCAUAGGGGCAGGUCUUUCCUGUCCUGUUCUUGUGAUAGUGAGUGGGUCUCACAAGAUCUGAUGGUUUUAAAUAACAGGAAUUUAUCUGCACAAGCUCUUUUAUUUUGCCUGCUGCCAUCCACAUAAUAUGUGACUUGCUCCUCCUUGCCUUCUACCAUGAUUGUGAGGCCUCCCCAGCCAUGUGGAACUGUAAAUUCAGUUAAAUCUCUUUCUUUUGUAAAUUGCCCAGUCUUGGGUAUGUCUUUAUCAGCAGAGUAAAUGUGGACUAAUACA